GACGGAGGAUGCAAGUGUUAUCCGGAAUCACUGGGCGUAAAGCGUCUGUAGGUGGUUCAAUAAGUCAACUGUUAAAUCUUGAGGCUCAACUUCAAAAUCGCAGUCGAAAACUAUUGGACUCGAGUAUAGUAGGGGUAAAGGGAAUUUCCAGUGGAGCGGUGAAAUGCGUAGAGAUUGGAAAAGAACACCAAUGGCGAAGCACUUUACUGGGCUAUACUGACACUGA
This 226-nucleotide ribosomal RNA is filed under the name uncultured bacterium. RNAcentral describes it as "partial 16S ribosomal RNA". It matches the Rfam family "Bacterial small subunit ribosomal RNA", at positions 524 to 749 of the family's 1533-position model. The record is from RNAcentral.